Molecule: ribosomal RNA, 253 nt
Filed under: uncultured bacterium
Lineage: Bacteria
Description: partial 16S ribosomal RNA
Rfam family: Bacterial small subunit ribosomal RNA
Source: RNAcentral
UACGGAGGGUGCAAGCGUUAUCCGGAUUCACUGGGUUUAAAGGGUGCGUAGGCGGGCAGGUAAGUCCGUGGUGAAAUCUCUGAGCUUAACUCAGAAACUGCCAUGGAUACUAUUUGUCUUGAAUAUUGUGGAGGUAAGCGGAAUAUGUCAUGUAGCGGUGAAAUGCUUAGAUAUGACAUAGAACACCAAUUGCGAAGGCAGCUUACUACACAGUUAUUGACGCUGAGGCACGAAAGCGUGAGGAUCAAACAGG